RNAcentral lists this ribosomal RNA (508 nucleotides) under uncultured bacterium. Its description in RNAcentral is "partial 16S ribosomal RNA". It matches the Rfam family "Bacterial small subunit ribosomal RNA", at positions 30 to 523 of the family's 1533-position model. The record is from RNAcentral.
AUUGAACGCUGGCGGCAGGCCUAACACAUGCAAGUCGAGCGGCAGCGGGAAAGUAGCUUGCUACUUUUGCCGGCGAGCGGCGGACGGGUGAGUAAUGCCUGGGAAAUUGCCCAGUCGAGGGGGAUAACAGUUGGAAACGACUGCUAAUACCGCAUACGCCCUACGGGGGAAAGCAGGGGACCUUCGGGCCUUGCGCGAUUGGAUAUGCCCAGGUGGGAUUAGCUAGUUGGUGAGGUAAUGGCUCACCAAGGCGACGAUCCCUAGCUGGUCUGAGAGGAUGAUCAGCCACACUGGAACUGAGACACGGUCCAGACUCCUACGGGAGGCAGCAGUGGGGAAUAUUGCACAAUGGGGGAAACCCUGAUGCAGCCAAGCCGCGUGUGUGAAGAAGGCCUUCGGGUUGUAAGGCACUUUCAGCGAGGAGGAAAGGUUGAUGCCUAAUACGUAUCAACUGUGACGUUACUCGCAGAAGAAGCACCGGCUAACUCCGUGCCAGCCGCCGCGGUAA